Molecule: ribosomal RNA, 253 nt
Filed under: uncultured bacterium
Lineage: Bacteria
Description: partial 16S ribosomal RNA
Rfam family: Bacterial small subunit ribosomal RNA
Source: RNAcentral
UACGUAGGGCGCAAGCGUUGUCCGGAAUUAUUGGGCGUAAAGAGCUCGUAGGCGGUCUGUUGCGUCUGCCGUGAAAUCCCGAGGCUUAACCUCGGGUCUGCGGUGGAUACGGGCGGACUAGAGGUAGGUAGGGGAGAAUGGAAUUCCCGGUGUAGCGGUGAAAUGCGCAGAUAUCGGGAGGAACACCAGUGGCGAAGGCGACUUUCUGGCCUGUUCUUGACGCUGAGGCGCGAAAGCUAGGGGAGCAAACGGG